UGUGCCAGCAGCCGCGGUAAUACGUAUGUCACAAGCGUUAUCCGGAUUUAUUGGGCGUAAAGCGCGUCUAGGUGGUUAUGUAAGUCUGAUGUGAAAAUGCAGGGCUCAACUCUGUAUUGCGUUGGAAACUGUGUAACUAGAGUACUGGAGAGGUAAGCGGAACUACAAGUGUAGAGGUGAAAUUCGUAGAUAUUUGUAGGAAUGCCGAUGGGGAAGCCAGCUUACUGGACAGAUGCUGACGCUGAAGCGCGAAAGCGUGGGUAGCAAACA
Molecule: ribosomal RNA, 270 nt
Filed under: uncultured Fusobacteriaceae bacterium
Lineage: Bacteria; Fusobacteriati; Fusobacteriota; Fusobacteriia; Fusobacteriales; Fusobacteriaceae
Description: partial 16S ribosomal RNA
Rfam family: Bacterial small subunit ribosomal RNA
Source: RNAcentral